UGGGGAAUAUUGGACAAUGGGCGAAAGCCUGAUCCAGCCAUGCCGCGUGUGUGAAGAAGGUCUUCGGAUUGUAAAGCACUUUAAGUUGGGAGGAAGGGCAUUAACCUAAUACGUUAGUGUUUUGACGUUACCGACAGAAUAAGCACCGGCUAACUCUGUGCCAGCAGCCGCGGGAAUACAGAGGGUGCAAGCGUUAAUCGGAAUUACUGGGCGUAAAGCGCGCGUAGGUGGUUUGUUAAGUUGGAUGUGAAAUCCCCGGGCUCAACCUGGGAACUGCAUUCAAAACUGACUGGCUAGAGUAUGGUAGAGGGUAGUGGAAUUUCCUGUGUAGCGGUGAAAUGCGUAAAUAUAGGAAGGAACACCAGUGGCGAAGGCGACCACCUGGACUAAUACUGACACUGAGGUGCGAAAGCGUGGGGAGCAAACA
Molecule: ribosomal RNA, 427 nt
Filed under: uncultured bacterium
Lineage: Bacteria
Description: partial 16S ribosomal RNA
Rfam family: Bacterial small subunit ribosomal RNA
Source: RNAcentral